UACGUAGGGGGCUAGCGUUGUCCGGAUUUAUUGGGCGUAAAGAGCGUGUAGGCGGCCAGGUAGGUCUGCUGUGAAAACUCGAGGCUCAACCUCGAGACGUCGGCGGAAACCAUCCGGCUAGAGUCCGGAAGAGGAGAGUGGAAUUCCUGGUGUAGCGGUGAAAUGCGCAGAUAUCAGGAAGAACACCCGUGGCGAAGGCGGCUCUCUGGACCACAACUGACGCUGAUGCACGAAAGCUAGGGGAGCAAACGGG
Molecule: ribosomal RNA, 253 nt
Filed under: uncultured bacterium
Lineage: Bacteria
Description: partial 16S ribosomal RNA
Rfam family: Bacterial small subunit ribosomal RNA
Source: RNAcentral